This is a long non-coding RNA of Oncorhynchus mykiss (rainbow trout), 581 nucleotides long. RefSeq lists it as uncharacterized. The record is from RefSeq and is a predicted model, not a curated record. Lineage: Eukaryota; Metazoa; Chordata; Actinopteri; Salmoniformes; Salmonidae.
UCUGUUUCCUGCAGGUGAUGUCAUUUCCUGCUAAUGGCUAUGGCAUGUACAACAUGGUGGGGAAGGCAUGGGAGUGGACAUCUGACUGGUGGACUGUUCACCACACUAAGGACGAUAAUACACAAACACAUUUAUUUUAUGUGGCACUUAUAUCUGUGAGGAUUUCCUCUUCUUCAUAUUCUGAUAUUUUCUCUCCUCUCUUUUACAGACAGGACCACCAUCAGGCAGAGACCAAGUGAAGAAAGGAGGCUCCUACAUGUCUCAUAAGGUGAUGUCAUUUCCUGCUAAUGGCUAUGGCAUGUACAACAUGGUGGGGAAGGCAUGGGAGUGGACAUCUGACUGGUGGACUGUUCACCACAAUAAGGACGAUAAUACACAAACACAUUUAUUUUAUGUGGCACUUAUAUCUGUGAGGAUUUCCUCUUCUUCAUGUUCUGAUAUUUUCUCUCCUCUCUUUUACAGACAGGACCACCAUCAGGCAGAGACCAAGUGAAGAAAGGAGGCUCCUACAUGUCUCAUAAGAAUUCGGGGCUGUAGUGGAGCGGGCCAAGAGUUUCAAGUUUCUUGGUAUUCACAUCACC